AUGCGGGGGCCGGGGGCGGUGAAGGCGGGGAGCCGGCCGCCGUGGCUGGGGCUGAGCGCGGCGGUGUGGGUGCAGGUGGCGGGGGGCGCCAGCUCCACCUUCGCGCUCUACUCGCACGCGCUCAAGCUCGCGCUCGGGGUCGACCAGCGCCGCCUCGCGCUGCUCGCCGUCGCCUGCGACGUCGGGGAGAACCUCGGCCUGCUCCCGGGCGUCCUCUGCAACCGCCUCCACCCGGCCCUGCUCCUCCUCAUCGGCGCCGCCGCCUGCGUCCUCGGCUACGGCGCCACCUGGCUCGCCGUCUCCGGCGCCGCCCCGGCGCUGCCCUACUGGCUGGUGACCUCCCCCUCCUUCUUCCUUGCACUUCAAUCCGUAUAUUCAUUAGUAUGGUUGGCAUUGUGCCUUGCUGCAAACAGUGGCGCGUGGUUGGGGACUGCCGUUUUGGUAACCAACAUGAGGAACUUCCCUCUCAGCAGAGGUGCCGUUGCCGGCAUCCUUAAAGGCUACGCCGGCCUAAGCGCCGCCGUCUACACCGAAAUAUACACCGGCAUACUUCACGAUUCGGCCGCGAGCCUUUUGCUUUUGCUCGCUCUCGGGGUUCCUUCGGUGUGCCUUCUGACAAUGUACUUUGUUCAACCCUGUCAACCCUCUCUGGUGCCGAAUUCUUCAGAGCAAGUUCACUUCCUCUUCACACAAAUCGGGAGCAUUGUUCUUGGGGUUUAUCUUGUUGGGGCCACAAUAUUGGAUCAUGUCGUAACACUUAGUGACGCAGUGAACUAUUCUCUGGUUGUUAUUAUGGUCCUUCUGCUCUUUGCGCCGGUUGCAAUACCCUUGAAAAUGACAUUGUUUCCAAGUAACCGAAGAAAAGGCCCGUCGGACUCUUCCGGCGCUGAUAGUGAUCAUACAGAACCAUUUCUUCCACCUUCUGCCUCCGGAUCAAACCUUACUGAUCUAGACGAUGAGGAUUCCUUCGAUAUUGACAUUCUCUAUGCAGAGGGUGAAGGGGCUGUAAAGCAGACAAGAAGAAGACCAAAAAGAGGAGAGGACUUCAGAUUUCGUGAAGCACUGCUCAAGGCAGACUUUUGGCUUCUUUUCGCAGUAUAUUUCAUCGGUGUUGGAUCUGGAGUCAUGGUCCUUAACAAUCUAGCACAAGUUGGAAUUGCAGCAGGUGCUGUGGACACCACUAUAUCACUCUCUCUGUUCAGUUUCUGCAACUUUUUUGGCCGUUUGGGAGGUGGUGCUGUUUCGGAGUAUCUUGUCAGGUCAUGGACAAUUCCCCGGACAGCACUGAUUAUAUGCACCCAAGUAGUGAUGAUAUUCACAUACCUGCUCUUUGCAUUGGGUCUCCACUCUACACUUCACGUCGCCGUUGCCUUGCUUGGCAUAUGCUACGGUAUCCAGUUCUCGGCGAUGAUCUCAGCAUCAUCGGAGCUAUUCGGGUUGAAGCACUUUGGGAAGAUCUACAACUUCAUCUCGCUCGGGAAUCCACUCGGCGCGCUCCUGUUCAACAGUCUCGCAGGAUAUUUCUACGAUCUCGAGGUGGAAAAGCAGCACGCCACGACGACGGACUUUGACGUCGCGUGCCAUGGCCCCAAUUGCUUCAGACUCACGUUCUUUAUUCUGUCUGGCAUGGCCUGCUUGGGCACACUGCUGAGCAUAGUCCUGACCGUGAGGAUCCGGCCGGUGUAUCAGAUGCUCUAUGCCGGUGGAUCCUUCAGCCAGCCCAGGAGCUCCGCACAUUGA
RNAcentral lists this ribosomal RNA (1740 nucleotides) under Triticum aestivum (bread wheat). RNAcentral describes it as "partial small subunit ribosomal RNA". The record is from RNAcentral. Lineage: Eukaryota; Viridiplantae; Streptophyta; Magnoliopsida; Poales; Poaceae.